GACGAACGCUGGCGGCGUGCUUAACACAUGCAAGUCGAACGGACAGGCCCUGAGUUUGUGCGGUGCUCGAUUGGCGCACGGGGGAGUAAAACGCGAGUAAACUCCCCUUGACUUUGGGAUAACUUUACGGAACUCGGGAGAAUAUAGGGUAGGAGCUCCUGAUGCGUGUGGGGGGUUAGAAAGUUUCGGCGGUUGGGGAUGUACUGGCGGCUUAUCAGCUGGUUGGUGGAGUAGGGGAUUACGAAGCGUUUGACGGGUAGCCGGCCUGAGAGGGUGACCGGCGACCAUGGUACUGAGAGACGGACCAGACUCGUACGGUAGGCAGCAGUGGGAAGUAUUGCACAAUGAGCGGAAGCCUGAUGCAGCAACCUUGCGUGCGGGAUGACGUCCUUCUGGUGGUAAACCGAUUUCGCCGGUGACGAAGCGUGAGUGACGGUAAUGGGUAAAGAAGCACCGGCUAACUACGUG
Molecule: ribosomal RNA, 468 nt
Filed under: uncultured bacterium
Lineage: Bacteria
Description: partial 16S ribosomal RNA
Rfam family: Bacterial small subunit ribosomal RNA
Source: RNAcentral